This 497-nucleotide ribosomal RNA is filed under the name uncultured bacterium. RNAcentral describes it as "partial 16S ribosomal RNA". It matches the Rfam family "Bacterial small subunit ribosomal RNA", at positions 28 to 507 of the family's 1533-position model. The record is from RNAcentral.
GAUGAACGCUGGCGGCGUGCCUAAUACAUGCAAGUCGAGCGAACAGACGAGGAGCUUGCUCCUUCGACGUUAGCGGCGGACGGGUGAGUAACACGUAGGUAACCUACCUAUAAGACUGGGAUAACUUCGGGAAACCGGAGCUAAUACCGGAUAAUAUUUCGAACCGCAUGGUUCGAUAGUGAAAGAUGGCUUUGAUAUCACUUAUAGAUGGACCUGCGCUGUAUUAGCUAGUUGGUAAGGUAACGGCUUACCAAGGCAACGAUACGUAGCCGACCUGAGAGGGUGAUCGGCCACACUGGAACUGAGACACGGUCCAGACUCCUGCGGGAGGCAGCAGUAGGGAAUCUUCCGCAAUGGGCGAAAGCCUGACGGAGCAACGCCGCGUGAGUGAUGAAGGUCUUCGGAUCGUAAAACUCUGUUAUUAGGGAAGAACAAACGUGUAAGUAACUGUGCACGUCUUGACGGUACCUAAUCAGAAAGCCACGGCUAACUACGUG